AACCCAUGUGAACCAUACCAAACUGUUGCCUCGGCGGGGUCACGCCCCGGGUGCGUCGCAGCCCCGGAACCAGGCGCCCGCCGGAGGGACCAACCAAACUCUUUCUGUAGUCCCCUCGCGGACGUUAUUUCUUACAGCUCUGAGCAAAAAUUCAAAAUGAAUCAAAACUUUCAACAACGGAUCUCUUGGUUCUGGCAUCGAUGAAGAACGCAGCGAAAUGCGAUAAGUAAUGUGAAUUGCAGAAUUCAGUGAAUCAUCGAAUCUUUGAACGCACAUUGCGCCCGCCAGUAUUCUGGCGGGCAUGCCUGUCCGAGCGUCAUUUCAACCCUCGAACCCCUCCGGGGGGUCGGCGUUGGGGAUCGGGAACCCCUAAGACGGGAUCCCGGCCCCGAAAUACAGUGGCGGUCUCGCCGCAGCCUCUCCUGCGCAGUAGUUUGCACAACUCGCACCGGGAGCGCGGCGCGUCCACGUCCGUAAAACACCCAACUUCUGAAAUGUUGACCUCGGAUCAGGUAGGAAUACCCGCUGAACUUAAGCAUAUCAAUAAGCGGAGGAAAAUCAUUCCUGAUCCUACAACUCCCAGCACAUGUGUGAUCUAUCAUCCGUUAGCUGGCGGUGGUUGAGCGGGGGUGCUCCUUCUUAGAACNUGAGCCGCCGGAGGGUAAAACGCUCUUUCUGUAGGCUCUUAGAUAUUUUUGCACACGCGUUAGACUCAAAGCAGAUAUAACUUAAAUCCACCCUGGUCGCUAUCUAGAUCAUACAAGAACCUNNGAGANNACGUGCAGAAGGGCGAGAAUCAUACGGAGUAAAUAAGUGCCUCUUCACGAGUAGCUGCGUGCGAUCUAGAUGGAGCGACUUGUACUAGCGCCUUUUAUCUAUAGACACUAGAGGCGAGAGCCUAGCUGAGCGGUCCUCCUCCCAGCUC
Molecule: ribosomal RNA, 925 nt
Filed under: Trichoderma koningiopsis
Lineage: Eukaryota; Fungi; Ascomycota; Sordariomycetes; Hypocreales; Hypocreaceae
Description: eukaryotic LSU rRNA
Rfam family: 5.8S ribosomal RNA (bases 166-319)
Source: RNAcentral